AAAAAGAGUGCUCAGGACAAGGCCCUGAGGAAGCCCAACCCCCAGAGUUUGGGCAGAGGGACAGGGCAUGUAAAAGGAGAAGGAGUAUCCCAGUGAUCAGUCCCUUUUAUUAAAUUUGUUUUUUAUUUAGGUGUCUGGAGAUGGCUGAGGAGCCCAUGACUUUCCUGUAUGAUCCCUUGAACGUAACUUCCAAGUCAGUAGAUUUCUUCUCAGGUAGCUUUCAUAAAAGUGUUUAAUUGUUGUCAGUUUUGAGUUCAUCUCACCACCUAGACCUUACAGUCCCUGGGUAGGCAGGCAGUGGGCGAUAGAAGCUCACACUCUAUACUUCUCCUCUUACUCAUUCCCACCCUGCUGAGGUUUAAGGAAAGCCAAGGAUCAGGACCCACUUAAGCUUUCCUUGGCCUUGUUAAGUCCAAUCAUCUGGGGCGGGAAGAAGAGAAAUGCUCAUUGCAAUCUUUGACCCCCACUAACUGCUGUGGUGACUUUGAGCCAAGCCCUUGACCUCCAUUUCCUUAUCUGCAAUGUUGCUGUGAUUCGUGUGGUGAGGUUAGAGAGGCAGCACUUGGGAUAAGCUUGAAGAGAUGCAUCCAGCCAUAUGAAAGUACAGGAUGCCGUGUGUGCUUCCUGCUUCAUAGCACGUUUUGUUUCUUGGAAGGUGAGUGGCCCGGCUGCCUCCCCGCAAACACAUAUUUCUGCCUUUCUCAUUGUAAUCAUGUUUCAGUUUCAGUUUAUUUCACAGAAAUGUUUUGAAAUCCUUUAUCUCUAAUGGAAGCACAAACGGGUGUGGGGGAGUCAAAAAUGGGGGAAAAAUUUAGUCUGUAAGCAAAUCAUUGGAUGGCAUCAGAAUUUGAGCCAGGGUAAAAAUGCUGGACCUUGGCCCUUAGACAGAGAAGUGCAGAAGAACUCAGGUUGGGGGAUUCUAUUUAAAACAUGUUCAGUUCUGAGGAAGAGGAGUAUGGGCAGGGCAGAGGAAAAAUGUAAAAUGGGAAACUCCCUCAUGGACUUAAGGCCCCAGCAGAGAGAAACCAUGUGCUUUCUCCCUGCUUCCCCGCUUCCCUUCUGACUUGGGCAAAUGAGGCAGUUCAUGCUCCCCUUAGGGCUGGAGGCAGUCUGCAGGGGCCAGCUGGGCAGAGAAGAAGU
This 1140-nucleotide long non-coding RNA is filed under the name Homo sapiens (human). Its description in RNAcentral is "non-protein coding lnc-NUDT16-2:1". The record is from RNAcentral. Lineage: Eukaryota; Metazoa; Chordata; Mammalia; Primates; Hominidae.